GGGCAUUGUUGUAGUUUCUCUUUUUUUGUGAGAUAUGGUGCUAUAGAUAUAAAAUAUUGGUAGGUUGUGUCCUGCCAUUAUUUAACAUUAAAUUUUAGGUAACUGUGUUGAAUUAGUGCAUUGUCUGUGCAUUUGAUGUGAAAGCCACUGUGCUGUCGCUGCACGCUCUCCGGUUCGAUUGGGUGUUAAAUAACUAGAUAACGGGGAGUAGUUAAUCGGUGUGAGGUUGUAACUUUAUUCUCUCUACCUUGGCUUUUUCUGAAGGUGGGAGGAGACAGUGUUGGAGGUGAAUGUGCAGUAAGUGUGGAACUGCGGUAGAAUAGGCUGUCAGGGUUCAUUAGCCCAAGCCAUCUCUAUCUCUGGAGGAAUGUGGCCAGUGGUUUAAAACCAAUUUCCAUUACCCACCUUCAUUUUAUUAACUUCCGUACCAUUACCAGGGAGCUUCCCUUUGACGGUUGUUCCUGCUCACUGUCUUGUACUUUUAAAAGAUCCCUGCGGGAGCAAGGUUGAGAGGCCUCGCUUAUCCUGUACUCUGUGUUCCCUUUAAUCGUCGAGGGCUGUGUCUUCUGCAUUGUGUAGUCUGUGUUAAACCCAUCUUUUAGAUAUCAGGGCCUUUACAUGUGUUUUUGUGCCUACUUGUUAACUGACAGAAAUAUCUAUUCAUUAACCAAGUUUUUUUUUUUUUUUUGUUGAGAGAAAUUCAGUUGCAUGUUGAUGUUUCUUAACUUAGUUUAAAUUGUCAGCAAUGGCUGGGCUUUAAGUCAAGAUUGGGCUGGAAGAAUCCUCAGGGAGUGUGGGAUGUGUGGUAAAUAGUAACUGUGAUAUCUGCCUACUCCAUGACCCCAGUCACCACUGCUGAUUAGAUCUGUUGGGAGCAUUUGUUCAUGAAUACGAUGGGCUUUUCUUGCAGCCUGAGUGAAGACGAGGAGGAUGGCGCGUGUGAGAUGCGCCUUUUCGUGACUGCCACUCGGGAGCACGGGGAAAUGGAGGAGGAGGUGAAAGGCCAGCUACUCCGGCUUUGAAGUUUCAAAGAGGAAAUACUCUGAGAGGCUCCGAGGGGAAUCACGUCUCUUCACACAGUAUCAACUUAUUUAG
RNAcentral lists this long non-coding RNA (1095 nucleotides) under Betta splendens (Siamese fighting fish). RNAcentral describes it as "lncRNA (ENSBSLG00000015458.1)". The record is from RNAcentral. Lineage: Eukaryota; Metazoa; Chordata; Actinopteri; Anabantiformes; Osphronemidae.